UCAUUUGUAUUUGUCUUAUCUUUCGUUGCGACUAAAUCUUUUUACUUUGUCUCUUUGCUGUGCAGUUGCAAUGUGACGCAGCCUUUUCGUUCUGUUUCUUUACCAACGCAUUUACCACGGACUACGAGUUUAUAUCUGCGCGCGUGCACGCCACGACCUUCUGUGGCGCUGUCGGCACUCCCUUAAGGCUGAGGAGCAAAGUUUUCACUUUGUGACUUCUGCCAGAUAUAUAUAUUUUCCUGUUUGCGCUUUCAAGAAGAUAGCCACGAGAGUUGGCUUGAAAUUACUACAAAGUAUCGUCGUUCCUGUCCCAUUCUUGGGACGAUUUGGCAUCGCGACACCCUCGUAUCUUCGUCACGGUACAAAAGGGCUUCUUGUAACUUCAGGAAAAGCAUGGAUUAAAGGGUUAUCUUUACUAUUCUUCAGUCAUCAGCGCUCGCGUCUUUUUAAUCAGAAAUUAAUUGGAAAAUCUCUGUUGUUCAGAAUCUCUCCUGGGACGUCAGAGUAGAACCUGAGACUAAUGCACUUUUGUUUAUCCAGGCUGCAAUUUAGUAUCCCACCAGCGGGAAAAUCGUUUGGUACGCCUUAUUAUUGAUGCCGGAGGGAACAUUUUUUGCCUUUACACAGGAAAAGUCGAUAGGCCGAAUGUAUAAAGACGGUAAAUACGGGGGUAUAAGGUAGGCAAAGGUUACUUGGGGAAAGUUCUGCCGCCGGGAAAUGGUAUAGGAUUGGUUCAAUCCCAAAGGGGGUUACGAGAUUUGCAUCUUUUGAAUAUAUCAAUAUAGGUAUAUAUAUAUUGCGUGCGUGGCUUUACGUUUUAAGUCAAGGUCUCGCAAAGCGAUGAGAUUCGAGUCAGGUAGCUGGAACGGGUGUCGCUUAACUAUAUAAGUUACAAACUCUAAAGUAUAUGAUACAUAUUAAUAUAUUGUACAAACUAUUAACUAACAAGUGUAAAGUAUAGGCUUUGGUAUGAUCAGUGUAAACCAUCGUUUAGUGUUAUACGAAAAGCAAUUUGAUAAAUGCCGAAAUCCUACGAUUUUAUUAAACAAGUGACGUAUGCAUGUAGUCAAACCAAUGUAUAAUACGGAUGUAAUGUUUAUUAUCAAUUUAAAAAAAAUUCCCAAAUGAAUAUCGCAAUUUAUACUGAUUCUGAACGUCAAUCGAAUGUCCCAACUAUGUAAAUCACACAUUAGGAUGCUCACUGCGCCAAUGAGAAUUAAUUUCUGCACUGGAAUUACACGAUGACCAGAAAAAAAGGCAAAAAAUGUAACACGAUCCAGUAGACAAGAAUUGAAAGGGUAGGAUAACAAAAAAGAAAUAUAAUCGUCGAAAUUGAUUUACCGAAAUCGUUUACGGCUACGUAGUCGAGAUUGCGAGGCUGAUUGAAUUUCUAGAAUUGCUGGUAAUCCGCGAAUAUCUUCUAGAGCGUAUUUGAAUUUUUCAUAUAUUUUUUUUUACCAUCAUAUGAAUUACUGCUACUCACUGAAUGUCAGAUAUUUUCAAUUUUAUUUCAUAGUUAUUUCACUUGUAUCUGUGUUAAUUUCUGUAUGCAGGUGACGGUUCUUGCAAGUAGGGAAAUGCAGAUGAUGCAAUUCGCUUCGUGUUUAUACUGCAUGUGCAUGAUCUUUAGGUUGACAUGCAUAUAUGUAUAACGUAUUUGCACUUCAUGUAUUUCUGUCAUAGAGCACGUUGCAUAAUUCACGAAGAGAAUUUCACUAUGACUAUCAGUGACUAUUUCACUGAUCGAUCAGAGUCAUGCGAAUGGGAAAUUUUAUUAAUUGAUAUAAAGCGAAAGAACAAACUGGAGCAAAAUAAAAUAAAAUAAAAAGAAUUUAAUUUCGCGAUGGAGUUUCAUGAUCUUCCAAUUUGUUAUUUUUACAGCAGCCUUUGUAUGCCAGAGAUGAGUGCCUUCGUGUUUUUCAUUUUAGCUUGAAAAUAUUUCAAAAGCAUUAGGUCGAUAUUGCCUGUCUAUCCGUAAAAUAUAAAUUUUUACACUUUCAAUCCAAUAGAAACGUCUAUUAUGUAAAACAAAGUCUAACGGCGUAUCGAGGGGCAACGGAUUUAAUUUUAUACACAUUUUUUUUUGUGUACGUCUAUUUUUCAACGCUAUUGUACACAUUUUUUUUUCUGGCAAAAAUCUCGUUUUACAAUUUUUAUAAUAAAAAAUUACAAUAGAUAUCUACAUCCAUAUAAGCCAUCGGCGAAGUACUCUUUUUCGCGUACUGCUUUUUAAAAAAUUGUUGAUUCGUGUGAAAUCCAACAUGAAUGCUAUGACAGAGUGCACGUUAUUAUUGAUACUUUUUAUUAUUCUCUUAUUUCUUCUACGAUAGAGAAUGAAUUUUUCACAAUAUUAUUGAUCCUCAUGGAACAGACAAUUGCCCAAAAAUAGUAUACCAUCGAAAAUCUCUGACUACUGCAAAUAUAUCUACACACUGAAAUCUCCAUUAUCCGCGGAGAGAACGUUUUAUUUAAAUCUUGUCAAAUACAGAGCAGCGACGUGUCAUCGCUGUGACAAAGUUUUAAUUUUAUUUUGUCACGCGGUCGUGACUGCGUCCACAGCGUCCUUAUUAUACGAAUACACUAGUUGGUUUGGUUUCAAAAAUUAAAAAGGAGAAUAAUAAAGAGAAGAUGACCAAGAGGAGAGGAAAAAAAUUGGGUCCUACCAGGUCCAUUUCCGUAAGGCCCCCCAUCAUAGAUCUAUAUCCAUUGGGUGGUACAAGUCCUCCGUGGUCUGACUGGAGACCAGGGGUUAAAUAAAAAAAAGUGAUUUCAAACCAAAAGUCACGAGAUCCAGGGUACAAGAAAUCAGCAGCAAAAGGACACAGGAAGUCAAGCCGAGCAAUAGAAAAUAUGCAAAAAGUCGUCCCUCCUCAAUCCUCUCAUCCCCGAGUCAGCUUCAUUACACGAAGGACCGUGUUGGUUCCGCACCCUGAGAAGACUUGCAGAUCCUCCUCAAGAGUUUCGACCCUGUGAGUGUGAGCUCAGCAGAUAAGGUAGAAAGACAAUCCUCGUCUUUCAUGGUUAAAUGACAGGGUGGAAAAGCACCAGCAAUCAUUCGGCAUUUCCAUAUUUCGUGACGUCACUUCCUUACCCUAGUAUGCAUGAGAAAGGCUUCCAAGGCCCCAGUGGCCACGUUAAAAUAAUGUCUUCUAGCUACGCUCCUGAAUAUCAGAGCUAAUGAAUGUAAUGAAAAAGGAUAAUUACAAUUCAGUCAUCUUUUGUUUAAGAAAAAUCUUUGGAAAUUCCAAAAAUGUCGGCGUAGCUCCGUUUGGAUUUUGUCCCUGAGCAAGGGACUGAGAGGUGUGAAUUUUUGAAAUUCCAGGAAUACCUACUGGAAGGGACGUCGAUAUUUGUCCAGGAAAUAGAAUACCAGGAUGAACGACUAUGUAUCCUCGUAUCCGCCUACCAAUGUCUACAUUACAUGAUUAGAAUCAUACCGAUAGGACAGUGCGACUGGCAUAACACAGAUACAUUAGCACGCUGAGGUCAGGCUACUUUGACGGUGAAAUUGCAAUGCGAAAUUGCGUCGUGCUUCGGCACACAGUUAUAUAAUAUACACAGUGUAUUCAGAUAGCAAUUAAAACCUGACAGUCCAUUCGAGUGGACUUUGUGCGUUAGAAGAAUGACGGCAGUUCAUUCCCGAUUAUUAAUAUAGCUCCAAGCGCCGGCUGGUGUUUUACUUUAUUGUUAUUUUUCAUACUUUUUUUUUUCCUCGGAAUAUAUACAGGAUUCGUUAAACGUAGAACAGCUCGAAUUUUUGUAAGGCAGAUUUUAUAAUUUUGUUCUCUUUAUCCACUACCGGUUCAGCUUCCGUAUUUAUUUCUCGCUUGGGCUCCCAUUGCAUCUUGUAUUGUUAUAUGUCUUUGUUUAUUUUAAUUCGCUCGCAGCAAGCUUCCUUUAAUUUUAUUAUUUAAGUGCAUUACAACGAUAUCGAAGUCAUUCUGAAACUCAAUGAUUUGAAAGUCUAUGCUUGCUUUGACAGCUCACUGAUCCGUUAUACAGUUUGGUUUAUAUCGACUUCACGCUCGAACGGACCAGUCGAACUGUCGCCAUUUGGUAAAUACAGCUGUGAGUAGUAGGAGCCAUGGUUCUACUUGCCUUUGGCUAGAAAUCAUUGACCGUGGAUACUAGAUUGGUUAUUGCGUUGCCAUUUGCCAUUUACAAUGUUACGUAAUAUAAUU
Long non-coding RNA from Cephus cinctus (wheat stem sawfly), 4181 nucleotides. RefSeq lists it as uncharacterized. The transcript has 3 exons. The record is from RefSeq and is a predicted model, not a curated record. NCBI's taxonomy places the organism in Eukaryota, Metazoa, Arthropoda, Insecta, Hymenoptera, Cephidae.